RNAcentral lists this transfer RNA (515 nucleotides) under uncultured Prochlorococcus sp. RNAcentral describes it as "partial 16S-23S ribosomal RNA intergenic spacer". The stretch from base 122 to 195 matches the Rfam family "tRNA". Lineage: Bacteria; Bacillati; Cyanobacteriota; Cyanophyceae; Synechococcales; Prochlorococcaceae. The record is from RNAcentral.
CAGGGAGACAACAAAAUGUUUAAUAUUAUUUUGUCACCUUAGGUCGAUCGGUAUCUCACGUUCUUAAUUUAUUAAGAAUUUCAUUUUCUAAGUUUUCUAGGGUCACACCCAUUAUUUUCCUGGGCCAUUAGCUCAGGUGGUUAGAGCGCACCCCUGAUAAGGGUGAGGUCCCUGGUUCAAGUCCAGGAUGGCCCAUAUCUCUAUGUUGGGGGUAUAGCUCAAGUUGGUAGAGCGCCUGCUUUGCAAGCAGGAUGUCAGCGGUUCGAGUCCGCUUACCUCCACUGAUUACCACCUCUUCCAUAAUUGGAUACAGGGAAUUUUUUGAGUUGUGAUCUUCUGAAGAAUCUAGCUUCCUAAUGCAAUAUUAAGAUGCUGGAUUCAUUGAAUUAUUUUUGUUUUCAGAGAACCUUGACAACUGCAUAGAUUAUUUUUAAAGACAAUAAGCAUCUUUAACGAUGCAGAUUUAUUAUUUGUGCAAAUGCAUUAAUAACAAUUCUAUUAAGCUGAUGCUUCAA